AUCCUGGCUCAGGAUGAACGCUGGCGGCGUGCUUAACACAUGCAAGUCGAACGAAGCACCUUGGAAUGCGACUUCGGUCAAAGGAAGAGGUGACUUAGUGGCGGACGGGUGAGUAACGCGUGGGUAACCUGCCUCUUACUGGGGGAUAACAGUUAGAAAUGACUGCUAAUACCGCAUAAGACCACGGAGCCGCAUGGUUCUGGGGUAAAAGAUUCAUUGGUAAGAGAUGGACCCGCGUCUGAUUAGUUAGUUGGUGAGGUAACGGCCCACCAAGACCGCGAUCAGUAGCCGACCUGAGAGGGUGAUCGGCCACAUUGGGACUGAGACACGGCCCAAACUCCUACGGGAGGCAGCAGUGGGGAAUAUUGCACAAUGGGGGAAACCCUGAUGCAGCGACGCCGCGUGAGUGAAGAAGUAUUUCGGUAUGUAAAGCUCUUUAAGCAGGGAAGAUAAUGACGGUACCUGCAGAAUAAGCACCGGCUAAAUACGUGCCAGCCGCCGC
RNAcentral lists this ribosomal RNA (502 nucleotides) under uncultured bacterium. RNAcentral describes it as "bacterial SSU rRNA". It matches the Rfam family "Bacterial small subunit ribosomal RNA", at positions 16 to 518 of the family's 1533-position model. The record is from RNAcentral.